ACCUGCGGAAGGAUCAUUACAGAGUUCAUGCCCUUCGGGGUAGACCUCCACCCUUGCAUACCUUACCUUUGUUGCUUUGGCGGCCCGCCUCACCUUGUGUGAGGCCACUGGUCUUGGCCGGUGCGUGACCGUCGAAGGUUAUCAACUCUAUAAUUUAUGUCGUCUGAGUACUAUAAAAUAGUUAAAACUUUCAACAACGGAUCUCUUGGUUCUGGCAUCGAUGAAGAACGCAGCGAAAUGCGAUAAGUAAUGUGAAUUGCAGAAUUCAGUGAAUCAUCGAAUCUUUGAACGCACAUUGCGCCCCCUGGCAUUCCGGGGGGCAUGCCUGUUCGAGCGUCAUUAACACCACUCAAGCUCAGCUUGGUAUUGGGUCACGCCAGCAAUGGUGAACCUCAAACUCAGUGGCGGCACCGUUGGGUCCCGAGCGUAGUAAAUAUCUCGCUGAGGGUUCCCUCCGGUUGGCGACCAACAACCCAAUUUUCUAAGGUUGACCUCGGAUCAGGUAGGAAUACCCGCUGAACUUAAGCAUAUCAAUA
This 536-nucleotide ribosomal RNA is filed under the name uncultured fungus. RNAcentral's name for it is "eukaryotic LSU rRNA". The stretch from base 186 to 339 matches the Rfam family "5.8S ribosomal RNA". The record is from RNAcentral. Lineage: Eukaryota; Fungi.